AGCAUUGCCCAACGUCUCUAAAGCUUCUCUUUCGCAACUUUAAAACACAAAAAAAAAUUGGAAUAAAAGAAGAAAGAUUGUCAUCAUCGAUAUUGAUGUUUUUUUUGUUUAAAUUGUAAGAUUGUCAUUAGUGACCUAUGAGCUAUGUCUCUAUAUCUCGCAAUCCCUGAAGCUUCCCUUUUGGAAUUCGAAUUUUAAUAAAUCGGCAAGAAAGAAGAAAUCGUCGAAUUAAUUGUGUGAGUUUUCUAUCUGUAUUGAUAUUGAUGUUCUUUCUUGUUUUAAUUGUAAGAUUCCUUGAUGGUUGAAAAUGGGAUUUCCCAUUUCAAGCUUGCUUCACUGUGAUUUCUGGUUUUACUUGUAAGAUUUCUAGAUAGAAAAUGGGACGGGUGGGGGUUGGGGGUUUCCGAUUUCAACAAUUUAAGAUAUUUCCAUCUGAUUUCUAGUUUUACAUGUAAGAUUUCUUGAUGGAAAAUGGGAGGGCUGGAGGUGGGGGUUUCCGAUUUCAAGCUUGCUUCACUGAGAUUUCUGGGUUUACUAUGAACCUUUGGUUUUAAUUGUAUGAUUUCUUGAUCGUUGGAAAUGGGAGGGGUAGUGGUGGGGGUUUCCGAAUUCAAGAAUUUACUAAUAAACUUUUGAACAAGACUGAAAAUCUUAGUUGGUCGAAUCAACUUUGUGAGUUUUCUAUCUUUAUUGAUGUUUACUUCUUGCUUCAAAUCUGUUCUGGUUAUUAUUUUGGAGAUUUUUUGGUUUUAAUUGUUAGAUUUCUUGAUGGUUGAAAAUGGAAGGGGUGGGGGGUGGGGAAUUACUGAAAUGUUUUUGGAAUAAACUUGUAAACAAGACUGAAAAUCAUAGUUCGUCGAAUCAAUUAUGUAAGUGUUCUAUCUAUAUUUCAGCCGUACAAAAAUUCUAAUUUCGUGACUGAUGUUUCCUUCUUGCUUCAUUUCUGUUCUUUCUAUUAUUUUGUACUUCACUAAGAUUUCUGGGUUUACUAUGAACCUUUGGUUUUAAUUGUAAAAUUUCUUGAUCGUUGAAAAUGGGAGGGAUGGGGGAUGGGGGUUUCCGAUUUCAAGAAUUUAGGAUGAAAGUCUCAAUUUUUUUGUUGUUAUCAUAGUCUGUCUUUGUCGUUUAUUGUUACUCUGCUUCUAUUAUGGUUUUCAUUACAUCACCUUUAAAUUUAAUGUUUGAACCACAACUAUGAUUUGUUGAGAGGAAUGGCUACAACAUCAGCUUACCUGAUUCAAGAUCAGAAUAUAAGUAUACACUAUAAUGAUACAAAUUUCAUCUAACAACUGGAAAAUACAUUAGUGUGAUAUACUAUUUCUUAGCAGGGGCUUCUCUGGUGGGAAAUAAUGGUAUCUCAAAGAAAAGAGGAGGAGAGAUUGGUGGAAGAAAGCACUUAAUGAUAUCUCAAAGCCUUCUGCUCUACAAGCAUCAAAGAAAAAUAAUUCCGCAAAUGUGAGGGAAAGAUCUUGAUUCCUCUAGAAACAAAUUUAGUGCUGGAAAAAAAGAGAUAAUUAUUCUAAAGUUUUGGAGAAAAAGGGUGGCAGGAAAGCACUAGCUGAUCUUACAAACUCAACUAAGUCGUCCUUUGUUGCAG
Molecule: long non-coding RNA, 1597 nt
Filed under: Solanum tuberosum (potato)
Lineage: Eukaryota; Viridiplantae; Streptophyta; Magnoliopsida; Solanales; Solanaceae
Description: long non-coding RNA (STUB_LNC001422)
Source: RNAcentral